UAGAUACCCUAUUAUUUUAAUAAGAAGUUUAAGAUACUUGAGUAGUAAAUAGGUAUGGGCUAGAAACUUAAAGAAUUUGGCGGUAUUUUAGUCUUAUUAGAGGAGGUUGCCCUGUAAACGAUACAACGCGUAAGAUCUUUCUUCUUUUUGUAAUUUCAGUUUGUAUAUCGUCAUUAUAAAUAUUUUAUAAAAAUAUAUAUUGGAAUAAGUUAACUACUUAAUAUAUUAGAUCAAGGUGCAGCUUAUAGGGAAGUAUGAGGUGAGCUACAAUAAGAUUGAUUUAAAUGGAUUUAAAAGUUGAAAGUCAUUUUUUGAAGGUGGAUUUAAAAGUAAUUAUAUUUUAAUAAGAUAUGGUGAAUGCUGAGCUCUAAGAUAUGUACACAUCGCCC
This 389-nucleotide ribosomal RNA is filed under the name Pasiphaea sinensis. RNAcentral describes it as "partial 12S ribosomal RNA". Lineage: Eukaryota; Metazoa; Arthropoda; Malacostraca; Decapoda; Pasiphaeidae. The record is from RNAcentral.